GAUGAACGCUGGCGGCGUGCUUAACACAUGCAAGUCGAACGGUGAAGGCGGAGCUUGCUCUGCUUGAUCAGUGGCGAACGGGUGAGUAACACGUGAGCAAUCUGCCCCUGACUCUGGGAUAAGCGCUGGAAACGGCGUCUAAUACUGGAUACGAUCUGCUAAGGCAUCUUCAGCAGCUGGAAAGAACUUCGGUCAGGGAUGAGCUCGCGGCCUAUCAGCUUGUUGGUGAGGUAACGGCUCACCAAGGCGUCGACGGGUAGCCGGCCUGAGAGGGUGACCGGCCACACUGGGACUGAGACACGGCCCAGACUCCUACGGGAGGCAGCAGUGGGGAAUAUUGCACAAUGGGCGAGAGCCUGAUGCAGCAACGCCGCGUGAGGGACGACGGCCUUCGGGUUGUAAACCUCUUUUAGAAGGGAAGAAGCGAAAGUGACGGUACCUGCAGAAAAAGCGCCGGCUAACUACGUG
RNAcentral lists this ribosomal RNA (468 nucleotides) under uncultured bacterium. RNAcentral describes it as "partial 16S ribosomal RNA". It matches the Rfam family "Bacterial small subunit ribosomal RNA", at positions 28 to 507 of the family's 1533-position model. The record is from RNAcentral.